This 433-nucleotide ribosomal RNA is filed under the name uncultured bacterium. RNAcentral describes it as "partial 16S ribosomal RNA". It matches the Rfam family "Bacterial small subunit ribosomal RNA", at positions 29 to 507 of the family's 1533-position model. The record is from RNAcentral.
AACGAACGCUGGCGGCAUGCCUAACACAUGCAAGUCGAACGAGACCUUCGGGUCUAGUGGCGCACGUGUGCGUAACGCGUGGGAAUCUGCCCUUGGGUUCGGAAUAACAGUUGGAAACGACUGCUAAUACCGGAUGAUGACGUAAGUCCAAAGAUUUAUCGCCCAAGGAUGAGCCCGCGUAGGAUUAGCUAGUUGGUGAGGUAAAGGCUCACCAAGGCGACGAUCCUUAGCUGGUCUGAGAGGAUGAUCAGCCACACUGGGACUGCGACACGGCCCAGACUGCGACGGGAAGCAGGAGUGGGGAAUAUUGGACGAGGGGCGAAAGCCUGAUCCAGCAAUGCCGCGGGAGAGAUGAAGGCCUUAGGGUUGUAAAGCUCUUUUACCCGGGAUGAUAAUGACAGUACCGGGAGAAUAAGCACCGGCUAACUACGUG